GAACCAAAAAGGGUUACCCUAUCGGCACAGCUGAAUAACCCUUGUAACGUAUACGCUGGGAGUCGGGAAGCAAGUUUGGGGGAGUGAAUUUAAUAAAUAAAGGAACAUGGAACAAAACAAGAAACACGAGUAGCGUACAGACAUGAAACAGAAACAACAACGCUUGGGGAAAGAACCAAAGAGACUGACAUAUAUAGGGAAGGUAAUCAGGUAGAAGGAACCAAAGGGAGUGACAUAUAUAGGGAAGGUAAUCAGGUAGAAGGAACCAAAGGGAGUGACAUAUUUGGGGAAGGUAAUCAGGUAGAAGGAACCAAAGGGAGUGACAUAUUUAGGGAAGGUAAUCAAGUAGAAGGAACCAAAGAGACAGACAUAUUUAGGGCAGGUAAUCAGGUAGAAAGAACCAAAGGGAGUGACAUAUUUAGGGAAGGUAAUCAAGUAGAAGGAACCAAAGGGAGUGACAUAUUUAGGGAAGGUAAUCAAGUAGAAGGAACCAAAGAGACAGACAUAUUUAGGGAAGGUAAUCAGGUAGAAGGAACCAAAGGGAGUGACAUAUUUAGGGAAUGUAAUCAGGUAGAAGGAACCAAAGGGAGUGACAUAUUUAGGGAAGGUAAUCAGGUAGAAGGAACCAAAGGGAGUGACAUAUUUAGGGAAGGUAAUCAGGUAGAAGGAACCAAAGGGAGUGACAUAUUUAGGGAAGGUAAUCAGGUAGAAGGAACCAAAGGGAGUGACAUAUUUAGGGAAGGUAAUCAGGUAGAAGGAACCAAAGGGAGUGACAUAUUUAGGGAAGGUAAUCAGGCAGGUGAUUGAGUCCAGGUGAGUCUGAUGAGGUGCUGAUGCGCGUAACGAUGGUGACAGGUGUGCGUAAUAAUGAGCAGCCUGACAACCUCGAGCGCAGGAGAGGGAGUAUACGUGACAACCAUUUUUGGGAAAAGAUCAUUGUAAAUGGGGGUCCGGGGGGUCCUCCCCCGUAAUUGGAGGGGUAUUUUGAAAACACAGUAUAAGUGGAAGGCUUGUAUCUCAAACAGACCGUUUCAAAAAUACUUGAUGUCACAUCCUGCUGAGGAGGAUGAGCUGGCCAAUCAGAG
RNAcentral lists this long non-coding RNA (1085 nucleotides) under Salmo salar (Atlantic salmon). RNAcentral describes it as "lncRNA (ENSSSAG00000087815.1)". The record is from RNAcentral. Lineage: Eukaryota; Metazoa; Chordata; Actinopteri; Salmoniformes; Salmonidae.